RNAcentral lists this small RNA (144 nucleotides) under Chrysemys picta bellii (western painted turtle). Its description in RNAcentral is "TUC338 (ENSCPBG00000012904.1)". The record is from RNAcentral. Lineage: Eukaryota; Metazoa; Chordata; Testudines; Emydidae.
CUGACAGCCUUUGAGUCUGAAGUUGUCUAGUUAUCAGCCAGGACAGCAGAUGUAUGAGCGUCUCCACCAGCAUUCUGUCCAUGUGCCUCAGCCCUGUUCUGGAGGGGUAGUUCCUUCUCCAUGCUCAUUUAGUCCUUGGUUUUC